RNAcentral lists this transfer RNA (94 nucleotides) under Didymella pomorum. RNAcentral describes it as "Peyronellaea pomorum tRNA". It matches the Rfam family "tRNA". From Rfam's summary of the family: Transfer RNA (tRNA) molecules are approximately 80 nucleotides in length. Their secondary structure includes four short double-helical elements and three loops (D, anti-codon, and T loops). The record is from Rfam by way of RNAcentral. Lineage: Eukaryota; Fungi; Ascomycota; Dothideomycetes; Pleosporales; Didymellaceae.
GCAUCGGUGGUUUAGUGGUAAAAUUAGCCGUUGCCAUCCUUCACAAUGACAGGACAGUUUCGGCUAGCCCCGGGUUCGAUUCCCGGCCGAUGCA